This 327-nucleotide ribosomal RNA is filed under the name uncultured eukaryote. Its description in RNAcentral is "partial 18S ribosomal RNA". It matches the Rfam family "Eukaryotic small subunit ribosomal RNA", at positions 1470 to 1796 of the family's 1831-position model. The record is from RNAcentral.
CCCUUAGAUGUCCUGGGCCGCACGCGCGUUACACUGAUGCAUUCAACGAGCUUAUAACCUUGGCCGAGAGGCCUGGGCAAUCUUGUUAACGUGCAUCGUGAUAGGGAUAGAUUAUUGAAAUUAUUAAUCUUGAACGAGGAAUUCCUAGUAAACGCAGAUCAUCAAUCUGCAUUGAUUACGUCCCUGCCCUUUGUACACACCGCCCGUCGCACCUACCGAUUGAAUGUUUCGGUGAAGAUUCCGGACCGUGGCGAGCGCGCUUCACGGCGCUCUUGCCGUGGGAAGUUAUCUAAACCUCAACAUUUAGAGGAAGGUGAAGUCGUAACA